CCCUAGCCCCGAUAGAAGUGGAAAUCCUUUUGCUUUUUUCUUUAAAAAGCAAAAGAUUACUUCCUCAGUUCGCUAUCACUC
Molecule: small RNA, 81 nt
Filed under: Flavobacterium sp. 245
Lineage: Bacteria; Pseudomonadati; Bacteroidota; Flavobacteriia; Flavobacteriales; Flavobacteriaceae
Description: Flavo-1 RNA
Source: RNAcentral